UAUACUGAGGCUGUGUGAUGAUGUAAAUA
RNAcentral lists this small RNA (29 nucleotides) under Bombyx mori (domestic silkworm). RNAcentral describes it as "ovarian small RNA-23351". Lineage: Eukaryota; Metazoa; Arthropoda; Insecta; Lepidoptera; Bombycidae. The record is from RNAcentral.